GAUGAACGCUGGCGGCGUGCCUAACACAUGCAAGUCGAACGGAGAUUACGGACGGAAGUUUUCGGAUGGAAGCCUGUAAUUCUUAGUGGCGGACGGGUGAGUAACGCGUGGGCAACCUGCCCUAUACAGGGGGAUAGCAGCUGGAAACGGCUGGUAAGACCGCAUAAGUCGGUUAAAUCGCAUGAUUUGAUCGGGAAAUGAGCAAUCAGGUAUAGGAUGGGCCCGCGUCCGAUUAGCCAGUUGGCAGGGUAAAAGCCUACCAAAGCGACGAUCGGUAGCCGGACUGAGAGGUCGGACGGCCACAUUGGGACUGAGACACGGCCCAAACUCCUACGGGAGGCAGCAGUGGAGGAUAUUGCACAAUGGAGGAAACUCUGAUGCAGCGACGCCGCGUGAGUGAAGAAGUAUUUCGGUAUGUAAAGCUCUAUCAGCAGGGAAGAUGAUGACGGUACCUGACUAAGAAGCCCCGGCUAACUACGUG
Molecule: ribosomal RNA, 481 nt
Filed under: uncultured bacterium
Lineage: Bacteria
Description: partial 16S ribosomal RNA
Rfam family: Bacterial small subunit ribosomal RNA
Source: RNAcentral